UGUUGUUGUGUUCCAUUGUGGUUGUUGCUGUUACAUUGUGUUGUUGUGUUACAUUGUUUGUUGUGUUACAUUGUGUUGUUUGUGUUACUGUGUUGCGUUGUUGUGUUGUGUUGUGUUACUGUGGUUGCGUUGUUUGUUGUGUGUUGUUGUGUUGUGUUACUGUGUUGCGUUUGUGUUGUGUUGUUGGUGUUGUGUUGUUGCGUUGUUGCGUUGUUGUGUUGUGUUGUUGUGUUACUGUGUUGCGUUGUUGUGUUAUUGCGUUGUUGCGUUGUUGUGUUGUUGUGUUGUGUUGUUGUGUUGUGUUACAUUGUUGUUGUGUUGUUGUGUUGCGUUGUUGUGUUGUUGUGUUGUGUUGUUGUGUUAUAGUGUUGUUGUGUUACAUUGUGUUGUUGUGUUAUUGUGUUGUUGUGUUACAUUGUGUUGUUGUGUUUUGUGUCUGCUGUGUUACAUUGUGUUGUUGUUUGUUAUUGUGUUGCUUGUGUUACAUUCGUGUUGUUGUGUUAUUGUGUUGCUUGUGUUACUUGUGUUGUUUUGUGUUAUGUGUUGUGUUGUUGUGUUAUUGUGUUGUUGUGUUACAUUGUGUUGUUGUGUUGUUGUGUUACAUUGUGUUGUUGUGUUGUUGUGUUACAUUGUGUUGUUGUGUUACAUUGUGUUGUUGUGUUGUGUUACAUUGUGUUGUUGUGUUGUGUUACAUUGUGUUAUUGUGUUGUGUUACAUUGUGUUGUGUUGUUGUGUUACAUUGUGUUGUUGUGUUGUUACAUUGUGUUGUUGUGUUACAUUGUGUUGUUGUGUUGUUACAUUGUGUUGUUGUGUUAUUGUGUUGUUGUGUUGUGUUGUGGUGUUGUGUUAUUGUGUUAUUGUGUUACAUUGUGUUGUGUUGUUGUGUUGUUGUGUUACAUUGUGUUGUUGUGUUGUGGUGUUGUGUUGUUUUAUUGUGUUAUUGUUGUGUCGUGUCAUUGUGUUAUUGUGUCGUUGUGUUGUUGUUGUGUUGUUAUUGUUGUGUUGUUGUGCCAUUGUAUUGUUUUAUUGUGUUAUUGUUGUAUCAUUGUGUCGUGUUAUUGUGUUAUUGUUGUGUUGUUGUGUUAUUGUGUCGUUGUGUUACAUUGUGUUGUUGUGUUGUUGUUGUGUUGUUUGUUGUUGUGUUAUUGUUGUGUUGUUGUUGUUUGUUGUUGUGUUAUUGUUGUGUUAUGGUGUCAUUGUAUUGUUGUGUUGUUGUUGUGUUAUUGUGUUGUUGUGUUAUUGUGUUGUUGUGUUAUUGUGGUGUUGUGUUAUUGUGGUGUUGUGUUGUUGUUGUGUUGUUGUUGUGUUAUUGUGUCAUUGUAUUGUUGUGUUGUUGUUGUGUUAUUGUGGUGGUGUUGUGUUAUUGUUGUGUUAUGGUGUCAUUGUAUUGUUGUGUUGUUGUGUUGUUGUUGUGUUAUUGUGGUGUUGUGUUGUUGUGUCGUUGUGUCAUUGUCGUUGUGUUGUUAUUGUUGUGUUAUUGUGUCGUUGUAUUGUUUUAUUGUGUUAUUGUUGUAUCAUUGUGUUGUUGUGUUGUUGUUGUGUUAUUGCAUUGUUGUUGUUGUGUUGUUGUGUUAUUGUGUUGUUGUGUUGUUGUGUUAUUGUUGUGUUGUUGUGUUAUUGUUGUGUUGUUGUGUUAUUGUUGUGUUGUUGUGUUGUUGUGUUGUUGUUCCUGACCCCCCGUCAGACAUCAAGGAGAGCGAGAACAU
Long non-coding RNA from Coturnix japonica (Japanese quail), 1706 nucleotides. The record is from Ensembl. NCBI's taxonomy places the organism in Eukaryota, Metazoa, Chordata, Aves, Galliformes, Phasianidae.